GUUGUUGUGACCGAGUGGUUAAGGCGAUGGAUUCGAAAUCCAUUGGGGUUUCCCUGCGCAGGUUCAAAUCCUGCCGACAACG
Molecule: transfer RNA, 82 nt
Filed under: Danionella translucida
Lineage: Eukaryota; Metazoa; Chordata; Actinopteri; Cypriniformes; Danionidae
Also listed under: 1 other name
Rfam family: tRNA
About the family: Transfer RNA (tRNA) molecules are approximately 80 nucleotides in length. Their secondary structure includes four short double-helical elements and three loops (D, anti-codon, and T loops).
Source: Rfam by way of RNAcentral